UCAGGCCUAACACAUGCAAGUCGAGCGGUUUAAAGUACUUGUACUUUAGAUAGCGGCGGACGGGUGAGUAAUGCUUAGGAAUCUGCCUAUUAGUGGGGGACAACAUUUCGAAAGGGAUGCUAAUACCGCAUGAGUCCUACGGGAGAAAGCAGGGGAUCUUUAUGACCUUGCGCUAAUAGAUGAGCCUAAGUCGGAUUAGCUAGUUGGUGGGUAAAGGCCUACCAAGGCGACGAUCUGUAGCGGGUCUGAGAGGAUGAUCCGCCACACUGGGACUGAGACACGGCCCAGACUCCUACGGGAGGCAGCAGUGGGGAAUAUUGGACAAUGGGGGGAACCCUGAUCCAGCAAGGCCGCGUGUGUGAAGAAGGCCUUUUGGU
RNAcentral lists this ribosomal RNA (377 nucleotides) under uncultured bacterium. RNAcentral's name for it is "bacterial SSU rRNA". It matches the Rfam family "Bacterial small subunit ribosomal RNA", at positions 43 to 423 of the family's 1533-position model. The record is from RNAcentral.